This is a non-coding RNA of Carica papaya (papaya), 1211 nucleotides long. NCBI's taxonomy places the organism in Eukaryota, Viridiplantae, Streptophyta, Magnoliopsida, Brassicales, Caricaceae. The record is from RefSeq and is a predicted model, not a curated record.
AGAGGAAAUUUUGCGCGAUCUACUGUGGGUAUUAGAGGAGAAAGAGGGGUAGCUACCGUUGUUAAGGCCAAACGAGGGGCGGACGAGGAGGGAGCUUCACCGUCGCAUCGGAGUCACACCGAGAGAGCGAGGAGGUGAAGGGAGAAGCUGUGUGAAGGGAACCUUUAGAGAGAGAGAGUAGACUGUUGGGUCGAGGCAGAGGGGAGUAAACGGUCUUGUUGGACGUUUUGGAAAAUGUUGAAGAGAGUGUCUGGAGAGGAGUGAGAUGGUAAGGGGACAAACAUAUGGAGAACCAAACAAAAAAAAAGAGAAGUAAUCCUGCUGAGGGGGAGUCAGGAAGAAAGAGUAAACCUGCUGUUUGUUUUCUAGUAGUGCAGAAGAAAGGGAGUGUCUGAAGAGGAGUUGAAGGGUAAGGAAAAGAGAAUAAUAAUAAUAGUAAUAGAAAGGCAGAGAGAGGGAAACAGUGAGAAAAAAAAUAAAAAUAAACAAAAAAAGAGAACAAGGCAAGAUUGGAGAAGAGGAAACAAUGAGGCUGCAAAACCAUAUUUGAAGGAAUGAAAAUGGAAUGAUGCAAGAAACAGAGAGGAAGCAGAGAGUUGUUCAGGCUGAGAGAGAGAGAGAAAAAAAAAACUAAUUGGGGAGAAUGAAAAAUAAAACCCGAGGGGCGAUUUUGAGAGUAAGCAGGGAAUCAUUGUUGGAAAAUAACAGGGGCAUGGGAAGAGACUGAUUGUAGAGAAGUUUGAUGAAAAUGGAGAGUUUAUUCACAUUUAUUUCUAUUCUAUUGGUUUUAGUUUGAAUUGAUAUUACUGAGCCGUGUAGCUCAUUCUUUUAUUAUAUCAUAGAAACGAUUAAACGACCAAUUCAAGAUCUUCUGGAGUCGGACCAUGAACCAGAAUGCCUACAAAAUUAAUUGAUACAUAGCUUUGGUGGAGGGAUACCUAGUUGGAUCUUCUUCUGUUUUGCUCUUGUUCUGCAUUUUUGGAUGAGUUUAGUUGCUGUAAUAUAGAGAACUAGCUACUAUUAAGUUUUGAGGCAUGAAUUGUAUGAGUAUACAAUACGAGAUGUUAAAUGAGCAAAAUAGUAAACCCAUAAUGUUCUUUUUCUUGAGAUCAGUUGUUAUCGAAAUGCAGCAAACUCUUUUUGAUAUCGGGAUGUUACCCGUCGAUACAAACAGAUGAAUGAAUGUUUUGUCAUAUUGAUACCUAACCAUA